This 310-nucleotide long non-coding RNA is filed under the name Elaeis guineensis (African oil palm). RNAcentral describes it as "long non-coding RNA (EGUI_LNC037234)". Lineage: Eukaryota; Viridiplantae; Streptophyta; Magnoliopsida; Arecales; Arecaceae. The record is from RNAcentral.
AUUGGAGUUCCACUAACAUCCUCUGGGUUUUACCCCUUCGAGUGGAUCAAUGAGUGUCCAUACACCGUUGAUUUUCAUGGACUCAAUUUCGGACUUUAUGGCUCCAAGCCACUAAUCGGAGUCAGACUUUUGCUUGGCAUCCAUGUAAGUGAUCAGAUCCUUAUUGUUCUCAUCGAGUUCAAUAAGAUUACAUCUUGGAACUAGAAACCGAAGUAUCUAUCCGACGGAUACGGUACUAUAUCGGAUCUCCUUAAUGGUGCCACUACAACGGGUUCCAGAUUUGAUCUAAUCAGAUUCAGUUCUAUAAGUU